This 1768-nucleotide long non-coding RNA is filed under the name Citrus maxima (pomelo). Its description in RNAcentral is "long non-coding RNA (CMAX_LNC004410)". The record is from RNAcentral. Lineage: Eukaryota; Viridiplantae; Streptophyta; Magnoliopsida; Sapindales; Rutaceae.
CAUAUAACUCUCUCUCUCUCUCUUUCUCUCACUCACUUCUCAGCCUUUUGUUCUUUCUUUUUAUUCACAGCCAAUCAAUUCCAGCGUUCCUCGCUUUCUCUCUCCUAUUUUCUCUCCAUAUUUGCCAUCUAAUUUGCUUAUGGGUACCUUGUUUUUCUUCUUUUCCUUCUCCCUUCUGUAUUAAUUUUAUUUUAUUUUCUUUCUUUCUCCGAUGCUUGCGGAGGUGAGAGAUGAGGAGAGGAGGAGAGAUUUGGGAUUGAGACACAAGACAGAAGGUGUUGCGUUGGAGAUUUUUGUGUUUUGUUUUUGUUUAGUGUUGCGUGGACGUUAUUAUAGUGCUGUGUGUGAAUGCAAUUAUUAUAUGUAACUCGGUUUGACCGCUGUCAUCUUUUUUAAUAUCACUUACCAUUAUUAUUUUCAUAAUAUUCAAAAUUUUAUUUUUAUUUCAAUUUAUAUAUUUUAUUUAAUUUAUAAUUAAUAUAAAUUUAAAAUAUAUUUAAAAAUAAGAUAAUAUAAUAAAAUUAUAGUGUCAAAGAAUUAUUAUUAGAUAUUAUGAAAACAGUAUAGUAUAUAUUGAUUUCAGUAAGAGAAAUUGACAAUUUCCAUUUAAUUUUUAACAAUAUUUUUAUAGUUUACAAUAGCUUAUAAAGAGCAAAAAGUGGGUUCUUCACUUGCUUUUGCUCAAACCUAAAUGAGCGUCACAAUCAUAAUGAAAGUCUAGAUGCUUUCUUUUCCAAACUUUAAACUGCAUUUGCCACAAAGCAAACAUGUUCUUGAUCCAAAACCACGAACUGUCUUUUCUUUUUCUUUUUACACCAGACGAACAUUUGAAUACCACAGUAUCCAUCAUCAAUCACAACAAAAAUUAGAAAGAAUAUGAUCAUCAUUGGAUAUGGGCAAUGGGGUUAUUAUCCAACCAAGAAAAUCAAUGAUCCCUUGAAGGCAUCUUCAAUAGUUUUAAACAAACCCAAAGAUUAUUAGCCAAAGAGCCUUAAAAAGCAAACAAGACUAAAUUGGGGGGAAAAGAAACAACAAAAACAUAAAACAAAACAGAUCUGAAAUAGAGAGACAGACCUUCUUGUGAGGAUCCAUAGUGGCAGGUGUAGGGGCAAUAGGGAAUUGGAUUCUUUUGGGUACCCUGAUGAGCUUUAAGCCAGAGAAAUCAAAGUCUUCAACAAUUGUAAGCUGCUGUAGAUGUUGGCCUUCAUGGCUGCUGCUGCUACUACUAAUAUUGAUAUUGUUGCUCUUCUUGUUGUUAGAAUCAAAAUUAUUGUUGUUGUUGUUAUUAUUAUUAUUACUAUUAUUAGUAAAAGAAUGGCGUUGAAACCAGCGACGCACACCGUCCACGAGUGUACUACUUCCCCCCAUAUAACUCUCUCUCUCUCUCUUUCUCUCACUCACUUCUCAGCCUUUUGUUCUUUCUUUUUAUUCACAGCCAAUCAAUUCCAGCGUUCCUCGCUUUCUCUCUCCUAUUUUCUCUCCAUAUUUGCCAUCUAAUUUGCUUAUGGGUACCUUGUUUUUCUUCUUUUCCUUCUCCCUUCUGUAUUAAUUUUAUUUUAUUUUCUUUCUUUCUCCGAUGCUUGCGGAGGUGAGAGAUGAGGAGAGGAGGAGAGAUUUGGGAUUGAGACACAAGACAGAAGGUGUUGCGUUGGAGAUUUUUGUGUUUUGUUUUUGUUUAGUGUUGCGUGGACGUUAUUAUAGUGCUGUGUGUGAAUGCAAUUAUUAUAUGUAACUCGGUUUGACCGCUGUCAUCUUUUUUAAUAUCACU